This 453-nucleotide ribosomal RNA is filed under the name uncultured bacterium. RNAcentral's name for it is "bacterial SSU rRNA". It matches the Rfam family "Bacterial small subunit ribosomal RNA", at positions 340 to 786 of the family's 1533-position model. The record is from RNAcentral.
UACGGAAGCAGCAGUGGGGAAUAUUGCACAAUGGGCGCAAGCCUGAUGCAGCCAUGCCGCGUGUAUGAAGAAGGCCUUCGGGUUGUAAAGUACUUUCAGUCGUGAGGAAGGUGUUAAGGUUAAUAACCUUAGCAAUUGACGUUAGCGACAGAAGAAGCACCGGCUAACUCCGUGCCAGCAGCCGCGGUAAUACGGAGGGUGCGAGCGUUAAUCGGAAUUACUGGGCGUAAAGGGCACGCAGGCGGUUAAUUAAGUUGGAUGUGAAAUCCCCGGGCUUAACCUGGGAAUGGCAUUCAAGACUGGUUAGCUAGAGUCUUGUAGAGGGGGUUAGAAUUCCAUGUGUAGCGGUGAAAUGCGUAGAGAUGUGGAGGAAUACCGGUGGCGAAGGCGGCCCCUGGACAAAGACUGACGCUCAUGUGCGAAAGCGUGGGGAGCAAACAGGGAUUAGAUACC